CUCGUUGGUGACCAGCGGAGGGUCAUUACCGAGUUUACAACUCCCAAACCCCUGUGAACAUACCUUACUGUUGCCUCGGCGGAUCAGCCCGCUCCCGGUAAAACGGGACGGCCCGCCAGAGGACCCCUAAACUCUGUUUCUAUAUGUAACUUCUGAGUAAAACCAUAAAUAAAUCAAAACUUUCAACAACGGAUCUCUUGGUUCUGGCAUCGAUGAAGAACGCAGCAAAAUGCGAUAAGUAAUGUGAAUUGCAGAAUUCAGUGAAUCAUCGAAUCUUUGAACGCACAUUGCGCCCGCCAGUAUUCUGGCGGGCAUGCCUGUUCGAGCGUCAUUUCAACCCUCAAGCCCUCGGGUUUGGUGUUGGGGAUCGGCGAGCCUUUCUGGCAAGCCGGCCCCGAAAUCUAGUGGCGGUCUCGCUGCAGCCUCCAUUGCGUAGUAGUAAAACCCUCGCAACUGGAACGCGGCGCGGCCAAGCCGUUAAACCCCCAACUUCUGAAUGUUGACCUCGGAUCAGGUAGGAAUACCCGCUGAACUUAAGCAUAUCAAUAAGCGGAGGAAAAGAAACCAACAGGGAUUGCCCUAGUAACGGCGAGUGAAGCGGCAACAGCUCAAAUUUGAAAUCUGGCUCUCGGGCCCGAGUUGUAAUUUGUAGAGGAUGCUUUUGAUGCGGUGCCUUCCGAGUUCCCUGGAACGGGACGCCAUAGAGGGUGAGAGCCCCGUCUGGUUGGAUGCCAAAUCUCUGUAAAGCUCCUUCAACGAGUCGAGUAGUUUGGGAAUGCUGCUCUAAAUGGGAGGUAUAUGUCUUCUAAAGCUAAAUACCGGCCAGAGACCGAUAGCGCACAAGUAGAGUGAUCGAAAGAUGAAAAGCACUUUGAAAAGAGAGUUAAAAAGUACGUGAAAUUGUUGAAAGGGAAGCGUUUAUGACCAGACUUGGACUUGGUUAAUCAUCUGGGGUUCUCCCCAGUGCACUUUUCCAGUUCAGGCCAGCAUCAGUUUUCCCCGGGGGAUAAAGGCGGCGGGAAUGUGGCUCUCUUCGGGGAGUGUUAUAGCCCGCCGUGUAAUACCCUGGGGGGGACUGAGGUUCGCGCAUCUGCAAGGAUGCGGCGU
Molecule: ribosomal RNA, 1107 nt
Filed under: Fusarium sp. WF127
Lineage: Eukaryota; Fungi; Ascomycota; Sordariomycetes; Hypocreales; Nectriaceae
Description: eukaryotic LSU rRNA
Rfam family: Eukaryotic large subunit ribosomal RNA (bases 501-1107)
Source: RNAcentral